UGAGCGACCUAUCAGCUUGUACUUAGGGUCUUUACCUAGGUAGGCUAUCACGGGUAACGGGCGGUUACCGUCGGACUGCCGGAGAAGGCGCCUGAGAGAUAGCGACUAUAUCCACGGGUAGCAGCAGGCGCGAAACUUUCCCACUCGAGACUUUCGGAGGAGGUAAUGACCAGUUUCAUGUGAAGCUUAUGCUUCUGUGAAUAGGAUCACACUUUUCCAGUGUGGUGAAACCUAGCAGAGGGCCAGUCUGGUGCCAGCAGCUGCGGUAAUUCUAGCUCUGCGAGUUUGCUCCCAUAUUGUUGCAGUUAAAACGCCCGUAGUCUGAAUU
RNAcentral lists this ribosomal RNA (328 nucleotides) under Lophomonas blattarum. RNAcentral's name for it is "SSU rRNA". It matches the Rfam family "Eukaryotic small subunit ribosomal RNA", at positions 304 to 641 of the family's 1831-position model. The record is from RNAcentral. Lineage: Eukaryota; Parabasalia; Lophomonadida.